Long non-coding RNA from Phyllostomus discolor (pale spear-nosed bat), 333 nucleotides. RefSeq lists it as uncharacterized. The record is from RefSeq and is a predicted model, not a curated record. The transcript is spliced from 3 exons. NCBI's taxonomy places the organism in Eukaryota, Metazoa, Chordata, Mammalia, Chiroptera, Phyllostomidae.
GUGUCCCAGUAUGGACAGGAGAAGAACGUGUACCUGGUGCCCUACGCGGCCGUGAGAGGCGGGCGCUCGGUCCGCCUGAGGGGGAGGACGCUGCCCAGCGCCGUGUGGAGCGAGUGGAGCACCACGCUGCCUUUCGGCCACCCGGAGCCGGAGGUCAGCGGCACCGCCGUGGCCCUGGUGGGGCUGCUGGUGGGGGCGGUGGUUUUACUCGUGUCCAUCCUGACGUUCCUCUGUACAAGGUGGCCCCUGAGGCGGACGCUCUUCCCACCGGUGCCGCAGGUGAAGCCGGAGCUGGUGGGCAGCCUCGCACCCUCGCCCAAGGUAAGCGCGCCC